Molecule: ribosomal RNA, 472 nt
Filed under: uncultured bacterium
Lineage: Bacteria
Description: bacterial SSU rRNA
Rfam family: Bacterial small subunit ribosomal RNA
Source: RNAcentral
ACUCCUACGGGAGGCAGCAGUGGGGAAGUAUUGCACAAUGGGGGAAACCCUGAUGCAGCCAUGCCGCGUGUGUGAAGAAGGCCUUGGGUUGUAAAGCACUUUCAGUAGGGAGGAAGGUAGUGUAGUUAACACCUGCACUAUUUGACGUUACCUACAGAAGAAGCACCGGCUAACUCCGUGCCAGCAGCCGCGGUAAUACGGAGGGUGCGAGCGUUAAUCGGAAUUACUGGGCGUAAAGCGCAUGCAGGCGGCCUGUUAAGUCAGAUGUGAAAGCCCGGGGUCUUAACCUCGGAAUUGCAUUUGAAACUGGCAGGCUAGAGUCUUGUAGAGGGGUUAGAAUUUCAGGUGUAGCGGUGAAAUGCGUAGAGAUCUGAAGGAAUACCAGUGGCGAAGGCGGCCCCUGGACAAAGACUGACGCUCAGAUGCGAAAGCGUGGGAGCAAACAGGAUUAGAUACCCCUGGUAGACUGUCA